This is a long non-coding RNA of Mastomys coucha (southern multimammate mouse), 148 nucleotides long. RefSeq lists it as uncharacterized. The transcript has 2 exons. The record is from RefSeq and is a predicted model, not a curated record. NCBI's taxonomy places the organism in Eukaryota, Metazoa, Chordata, Mammalia, Rodentia, Muridae.
UCUCUCUAAAGCCCGUAUUGCACUGACAUGGCAGGAAAUAUGGACUAUGUACCAUGGAAUAUCCCUCCUAAAGUGUGUUGAGGAUUGAAGAAAGAAAGCAGGUGCUCAACCACUGAAUCACAUCCCAGACUUCUGAUGAUUUUGAAAA